CCGAGGGAAACACAUCUACUAUAAAAGGAAAACAACGGAACAACAGAAACACUGAAGUGCAACAAAAACAAACGCUAAUGCAACAUAAAUAGAAACGAACUAUUUGAUAACAACUGCCAUAUUCCUGACUUGGGACAUAUAUUUUAUGAAAAAAAGGUGGAUUGAACCUGGUUUUAUGGCUUGUAUCUUGUAUCUAUGCGAGUUUUGGUUCUGACGAACAUUUUGCCGUAACUAAAUGUCUCGACUGUAAGAUGAACUUGUGCAUGAACUGUCACGGCUACCAUAAGAAAAUAAAUAAAAAGAUCACAGAAUCAAUGGCGUAGGAACUUAAAAUUAUAUCAAUCAAAACAACAUGAUAGGCAGUAAGUAAACGAAUGUGAUGAACACAGGACAGAAUUGACUUUAUUUUGUAUACCUUGUAAUAAUUUUUUUGUGGAAUAAGAGCUCAGAGAAAUCACAUCAUAUGCACGAAAUCCAGAAUCUGACACCGUUGAUUCAUAUUAGAAAGAACAUUUUCCUUGUUUGAACAAUAAGCUUGAAAUCAAGCAAACACUUCAAGAAUGAAAGAUGUAUUUUGUAAUACUUCUGAUACAAUGUAAGCGAGUGACAGGUUUCAUAAAGACUCUUAGUUUAACGACUUUAAUGCACAUUUCUAACAUAGUAUAUAGUAUGUAACAUUCGAAUGAUUAUUAACCGUACUUUCUGUUUUGCCCGGUCGUCAAUAAUUCGUACGGUGCAAUUUUCGUUAAAUCAAGGUCAAAGGUCAAAAUUGAAAAUUCGUGAAUUUUGCUCGAAUUAAACAAAAUGCCAUUUUCUGGUACGUGUAUGAUAAACAAAAUAUAUUCCAAUAAGGAUGCAAACUAAAAUGUUGAUUGUCCCAUAUUUACAGAAAAUUUCAUUUCUUGAGAACUUCCUAUAGACAUGAAUAUCAAUUAUAUGCUCAUUAUUAUAAAUUUCCUGUUUACAAAACUAUGAAUUUUUCGAAAAACUAAGGAUUUUCUUAUCCCAGGCAUAGAUUACCUUAGCCGUAUUUGGCACAACUUUUUGGAAUUUUUGGUCCUCAACGCUCUUCAACUUUGUAUUUGUCUGGCUUUUUAACUGUUUUGUUCUGAGCG
This 1115-nucleotide long non-coding RNA is filed under the name Mytilus galloprovincialis (Mediterranean mussel). Lineage: Eukaryota; Metazoa; Mollusca; Bivalvia; Mytilida; Mytilidae. The record is from RNAcentral.